UGCCAGGUUCUCGUCGUAAAGCGCUUUGCAGCAGUCGGCCAAGCGGGGCUUUACGGCAGCCGGUGUCUCGCGGGGCGUGGGAGUGGGACGGCGCCGGGCACUGAACCCGGGUUCUGCGGCUGGGCGUGUUAUCCUAAAGCCAUUAGGCGGCACUGAGUUGGUGUGGUAAAGAGAUCUGUGCUGGCCCAGAGUGUUGGAGCUCAAGCAUCUUUCAGCCCAGGCCCUGUGAGAGUGCUGCCCAGCGUGGUAUGUCAGAACACCAAAAGACUUUUUCUUCGGUUAGAGUUCCAAGAAGGUUGCCAGUGAGUCAAAGGCUAUGAAUAUUUUUAAUGCUCCUGAACCUCUGGCUACAU
Microcebus murinus (gray mouse lemur) is the source of this 353-nucleotide non-coding RNA. Lineage: Eukaryota; Metazoa; Chordata; Mammalia; Primates; Cheirogaleidae. The record is from RefSeq and is a predicted model, not a curated record.